RNAcentral lists this ribosomal RNA (356 nucleotides) under Acartia tonsa. RNAcentral describes it as "partial 16S ribosomal RNA". Lineage: Eukaryota; Metazoa; Arthropoda; Copepoda; Calanoida; Acartiidae. The record is from RNAcentral.
CUUAUUUUUAAUUUAAUAUAAUUUCUGCUCAAUGAAAAAAUUUUAAUAGCCACUAUAGUGCUAAGGUAGCAUAAUAAUUUGUUUUUUAAUUGAAAAAUUGAAUGAAUGAAUUCACUAAAAAUGAAUUGUUUAAUUUUAUAAAAUAAAAUUUUAAUUUGAAUGAAAAUUUUCAAAUUUUUCUCUAAGGCGAUAAGACCCUAUGAACCUUUAUUUUUUUAAAUUAAUCUAAAAAAUUUAUUUGGGGUAAAUAAAAAUGAAAGUAUUUUGAACUAAACUGAUCUUAAUAAAACUAGGUGAAAAAGGUACUCUAGGGAUAACAGCGUAAUAAUUAUUAAAGCCCAUAUUAAAAUAAUUGU